AUACGAAUAUUAUAGCUUACUCGUAUAAUAGCGGUAAUAAGGUCCGCGAGUCUCUACCAGACUGCCAUUUAACGGUCUGACUACGAGUGAUCCAUUUUUGCGC
Molecule: non-coding RNA, 103 nt
Filed under: Shouchella lehensis G1
Lineage: Bacteria; Bacillati; Bacillota; Bacilli; Caryophanales; Bacillaceae
Description: Bacillus lehensis G1 Purine riboswitch aptamer
Rfam family: Purine riboswitch aptamer
About the family: Riboswitches are metabolite binding domains within certain messenger RNAs that serve as precision sensors for their corresponding targets. Allosteric rearrangement of mRNA structure is mediated by ligand binding, and this results in modulation of gene expression.
Source: Rfam by way of RNAcentral